This 440-nucleotide ribosomal RNA is filed under the name uncultured bacterium. RNAcentral describes it as "partial 16S ribosomal RNA". It matches the Rfam family "Bacterial small subunit ribosomal RNA", at positions 338 to 795 of the family's 1533-position model. The record is from RNAcentral.
CCUACGGGGUGCAGCAGUGGGGAAUAUUGCACAAUGGGGGCAACCCUGAUGCAGCGACGCCGCGUGAGUGAAGAAGUAUUUCGGUAUGUAAAGCUCUAUUAGUAGGGAAGAAAAUGACGGUACCUGAUUAAGAAGCUCCGGCUAACUCCGUGCCAGCAGCCGCGGUAAUACGUAGGCGGCAAGCGUUAUCCGGAUUUACUGGGUGUAAAGGGAGCGUAGACGGGAGCACAAGUCAGGUGUGAAAUGCUGAGGCUUAACCCCAGAACUGCAUUGGAAACUGGGAAGCUAGAGUGCAGGUGAGGUAGGUGGAAUUCGUAGUGUAGCGGUGAAAUGCGUAGAUAUUAGGAGGAACACCGGUGGCGAAGGCAGCUUACUAGACUGUAACUGACGUUGAGGCUCGAAAGCGUGGGGAGCAAACAGGAUUAGAUACCCGGGUAGUC